Molecule: ribosomal RNA, 1542 nt
Filed under: Salmonella enterica subsp. enterica serovar Othmarschen
Lineage: Bacteria; Pseudomonadati; Pseudomonadota; Gammaproteobacteria; Enterobacterales; Enterobacteriaceae
Description: bacterial SSU rRNA
Rfam family: Bacterial small subunit ribosomal RNA
Source: RNAcentral
AAAUUGAAGAGUUUGAUCAUGGCUCAGAUUGAACGCUGGCGGCAGGCCUAACACAUGCAAGUCGAACGGUAACAGGAAGCAGCUUGCUGCUUUGCUGACGAGUGGCGGACGGGUGAGUAAUGUCUGGGAAACUGCCUGAUGGAGGGGGAUAACUACUGGAAACGGUGGCUAAUACCGCAUAACGUCGCAAGACCAAAGAGGGGGACCUUCGGGCCUCUUGCCAUCAGAUGUGCCCAGAUGGGAUUAGCUGGUUGGUGAGGUAACGGCUCACCAAGGCGACGAUCCCUAGCUGGUCUGAGAGGAUGACCAGCCACACUGGAACUGAGACACGGUCCAGACUCCUACGGGAGGCAGCAGUGGGGAAUAUUGCACAAUGGGCGCAAGCCUGAUGCAGCCAUGCCGCGUGUAUGAAGAAGGCCUUCGGGUUGUAAAGUACUUUCAGCGGGGAGGAAGGUGUUGUGGUUAAUAACCACAGCAAUUGACGUUACCCGCAGAAGAAGCACCGGCUAACUCCGUGCCAGCAGCCGCGGUAAUACGGAGGGUGCAAGCGUUAAUCGGAAUUACUGGGCGUAAAGCGCACGCAGGCGGUCUGUCAAGUCGGAUGUGAAAUCCCCGGGCUCAACCUGGGAACUGCAUUCGAAACUGGCAGGCUUGAGUCUUGUAGAGGGGGGUAGAAUUCCAGGUGUAGCGGUGAAAUGCGUAGAGAUCUGGAGGAAUACCGGUGGCGAAGGCGGCCCCCUGGACAAAGACUGACGCUCAGGUGCGAAAGCGUGGGGAGCAAACAGGAUUAGAUACCCUGGUAGUCCACGCCGUAAACGAUGUCUACUUGGAGGUUGUGCCCUUGAGGCGUGGCUUCCGGAGCUAACGCGUUAAGUAGACCGCCUGGGGAGUACGGCCGCAAGGUUAAAACUCAAAUGAAUUGACGGGGGCCCGCACAAGCGGUGGAGCAUGUGGUUUAAUUCGAUGCAACGCGAAGAACCUUACCUGGUCUUGACAUCCACGGAAGUUUUCAGAGAUGAGAAUGUGCCUUCGGGAACCGUGAGACAGGUGCUGCAUGGCUGUCGUCAGCUCGUGUUGUGAAAUGUUGGGUUAAGUCCCGCAACGAGCGCAACCCUUAUCCUUUGUUGCCAGCGGUUAGGCCGGGAACUCAAAGGAGACUGCCAGUGAUAAACUGGAGGAAGGUGGGGAUGACGUCAAGUCAUCAUGGCCCUUACGACCAGGGCUACACACGUGCUACAAUGGCGCAUACAAAGAGAAGCGACCUCGCGAGAGCAAGCGGACCUCAUAAAGUGCGUCGUAGUCCGGAUUGGAGUCUGCAACUCGACUCCAUGAAGUCGGAAUCGCUAGUAAUCGUGGAUCAGAAUGCCACGGUGAAUACGUUCCCGGGCCUUGUACACACCGCCCGUCACACCAUGGGAGUGGGUUGCAAAAGAAGUAGGUAGCUUAACCUUCGGGAGGGCGCUUACCACUUUGUGAUUCAUGACUGGGGUGAAGUCGUAACAAGGUAACCGUAGGGGAACCUGCGGUUGGAUCACCUCCUUA